AAUUGUAAAUCUUUUGAUACUAUUGUCCCUGAGUUCAUGAUUUUGUGAGUCAGUGGUUGUUAACAAGAAUGAAAAAUAGGAUGUCAUACUUUGUGUUUCAAUGAUCAUAGUAUUGAUGCAUUGCUUGGGAACCCAUCAAUCCCAUUUCAUUGUUUCUGUUGUUUAUGAAAUUCAACUUCCUUGAACUUACCAUUUCAUCCUGAUCUUGCCAAACAUAAUAUUUUUUUUUUAAUGCUGUUAAUAUGCUGGUCUAUUGCAAUCACGAGAAGUUCUCAUGGGACCAGAGAUUUGAGGAUUUAAACUUCUGCAAUGUUCUUUUAUGUCACCACCUUGGUAGUCUUCCUGUUCAUUCACCCAUCGUCUAAGAUUCUGUUAAUUACUACCAUGUACAAGAAGCAGAUAGUGGGAAAUGAUGGUUGUACCCACUACCCAGAGUUGGACUCAGCCCUUGCAUGAUCAUCACCUUGCUGUUUUAAUUUCGUGGCAUCAGUCUCUGGGGUUCCACUCUCCACAGAGGACAGAUAGUGAUUGACCUCACAGUGAAAUCAAGGAGCCAUGGAGUACAGAACUGAGUUGGAUGAUUGUCUAAAAUGUAUGUGCUUUUGCAAGCACGUUCAGCUGUGGAACAUUCUUCAUAUGUAACUGUUUGCUGUGAUAAAGUGAAGCCCACAGUUUUCAAAUCCAUGAUGAACCUCAACAGAUUUGAAAGAAGGGCUGUCCUGUUGUCUUGUUACUCUAGAGCUGGAGAACACAAAUUGGUAGCGUAAAGACUUUGAUAAAAGCAAGGCAAAGAUGUCUCGUAGUCAUUAUGUAAAAAUUUAUGUUCAGUAAGUAAUCAGAGAAUCUAAUAACUGUUGAAGCUUCAUAUAAUCAAAGUUUGAAGAGUCAAAACAAUUAUAACAAGUUACAAAGUUUCAAAAAAAUUUAUGGUAGACAAGAUGUACAUAAAUUGAGGGAUCCUUUUUUACUUUUGUAUUCAAGACAGAAAUAGUCAAUGUUUAAUAGACCUAUCUUAAUUGUGCUUAGAUGCGUAAGUGCAACUUUUAUUAUUAUUAGAAAUUAUGUUGAGCUCUUUAGCUUAUAACUAAUGUGAAUCCUUUGUCAG
RNAcentral lists this unclassified non-coding RNA (1105 nucleotides) under Hevea brasiliensis (rubber tree). Lineage: Eukaryota; Viridiplantae; Streptophyta; Magnoliopsida; Malpighiales; Euphorbiaceae. The record is from RNAcentral.